RNAcentral lists this ribosomal RNA (253 nucleotides) under uncultured bacterium. RNAcentral describes it as "partial 16S ribosomal RNA". It matches the Rfam family "Bacterial small subunit ribosomal RNA", at positions 524 to 776 of the family's 1533-position model. The record is from RNAcentral.
UACGAAGGGUGCAAACGUUGCUCGGAAUUAUUGGGCGUAAAGCGCACGUAGGCCGCUAUCUAAGUCGGAUGUGAAAUCCCUCGGCUUAACCAAGGAAGUGCACCCGAAACUGGAUAGCUUGAGUACAGAAGAGGAUCGCGGAAUUCCCGGUGUAGAGGUGAAAUUCGUAGAUAUCGGGAGGAACACCAGUGGCGAAGGCGGCGAUCUGGGCUGAUACUGACGCUGAGGUACGAAAGCGUGGGGAGCGAACAGG